CCGCCCGAACCCCACCGAACGCGUCCGCCGCCUCCCGAUCCCGCCCCGCGGUCCCCCCCGGGGCAUGAACCGCCCCCCGGCGGGCCGAAACCGGCAAAACCGGCUAAACCGCCCCGAUCAUGCCCAUUUUUCGGCGUUCAAACCGCCGCACGGCUACCCCCCCAUCCCGAUGCCCCCGGACCCCUGGUCCCGUGGGACCUGACGGAAACGGAAUCGGAUGCUCGGAUCAUGAGAUACGCCCAAAACCGUCUAAACCUACUGAGCGCACCCCGAACAUGCCCAUUUUUCGGCGUUCAAACCGCCGCGCGGCUACCCCCCCAUCCCGAUGCCCCCGGAACCCUGGUCCCGCGGGACCCGACGGAAACGGAAUCGGAGGCCCGGAUCAUGAGUUACGGCCCCUUCUUUGCGGCCCCCGAGGACGUGCGCUAUAGCCCCCCGGGCCACCCCCCAUCCGGCCGCACCCGCCCGAACCCCACCGAACGCGUCCGCCGCCUCCCGAUCCCGCCCCGCGGUCCCCCCCGGGGCAUGAACCGCCCCCCGGCGGGCCGAAACCGGCCAAACCGGCUAAACCGCCCCGAUCAUGCCCAUUUUUCGGCGUUCAAACCGCCGCACGGCUACCCCCCCAUCCCGAUGCCCCCGGACCCCUGGUCCCGUGGGACCUGACGGAAACGGAAUCGGAUGCUCGGAUCAUGAGAUACGCCCAAAACCGUCUAAACCUACUGAGCGCACCCCGAACAUACCCAUUUUUCGGCGUUCAAACCGCCGCGCGGCUACCCCCCCAUCCCGAUGCCCCCGGAACCCUGGUCCCGCGGGACCCGACGGAAACGGAAUCGGAGGCCCGGAUCAUGAGUUACGGCCCCUUCUUUGCGGCCCCCGAGGACGUGCGCUAUUGCCCCCCGGGCCACCCCCCAUCCGGCCGCACCCGCCCGAACCCCACCGAACGCGUCCGCCGCCUCCCGAUCCCGCCCCGCGGUCUCCCCCGGGGCGUGAACCGCCCCCCGGCGGGCCGAAACCGGCCAAACCGGCUAAACCGCCCCGAUCAUGCCCAUUUAUCGGCGUUCAAACCGCCGCACGGCUACCCCCUCAUCCCGAUGACCCCGGACCCCUGGUCCCGUGGGACCUGACGGAAACGGAAUCGGAUGCUCGGAUCAUGAGAUACGCCCAAAACCGUCUAAACCUACUGAGCGCACCCCGAACAUGCCCAUUUUUCGGCGUUCAAACCGCCGCGCGGCUACCCCCCCAUCCCGAUGCCCCCGGAACCCUGGUCCCGCGGGACCCGACGGAAACGGAAUCGGAGGCCCGGAUCAUGAGUUACGGCCCGUUCUUUGCGGCCCCCGAGGACGUGCGN
This 1348-nucleotide long non-coding RNA is filed under the name Citrus x clementina. RNAcentral describes it as "Citrus clementina (C. clementina) long non-coding RNA (CCLE_LNC001707)". Lineage: Eukaryota; Viridiplantae; Streptophyta; Magnoliopsida; Sapindales; Rutaceae. The record is from RNAcentral.